This 368-nucleotide ribosomal RNA is filed under the name uncultured eukaryote. Its description in RNAcentral is "partial 18S ribosomal RNA". It matches the Rfam family "Eukaryotic small subunit ribosomal RNA", at positions 592 to 976 of the family's 1831-position model. The record is from RNAcentral.
CAGUAGCGUAUAUUAAAGUUGUUGCAGUUAAAAUGCUCGUAGUUGAAGUUCGGAUGCAGCAGAGCUUGGAAACGCUGUUAUGGUGCUUCCGUUGCUUUUGCUUGUCCACAGUGCGUGGCAAGUACGUAUGUGCUUGUGCGUGCAUUUUACUUUGAGAAACAUAGGGUGUUCCACGCAUGUUACGGCAUGAAUAUUCCAGCAUGGGAUAAUCUGGUACGACUUCCAAUCUGCCAUUUUGGUUCGUAGGUUGGAAGUAAUGAUUAAUAGGGACUGUCGGGGGCAUUGGUAUUUGACUGUCAGAGGUGAAAUUCUUAGAUUCGUUGAGGACCAACCACUGCGAAAGCAUUUGUCAAGGAUGUCUCCAUUAA